ACUCUGUUAGAGGAAGGGACACUGCCUCAUUACUGCCAGGUGGAGGGACAAGUUCAGACUCUCCAAAAGGUCUGCAUGAACACCAUGGCAGGGGUGGCUUUUAUUCUGGCUGAUAGGGUAAACGUCCUUGCUCCUGCCUUGCCUUCCUUGACAUACCUUUGUUAUAUCCUUCUGUGUGUGGAAGCCUAGACUCCCCAUUUGGCCUUUGCUGGUGGAUGUGGAGGGGAAGAAACACAGGAGCAGAAGAUGGCUUUGUGAGCCUGGAGUCAGAACAAAUGAUUUGAAUUAUGUAAUUUAAUUACUGAACAAAAUCAGGUUACACCAGUCUAAGUCCAUCCUUUCUAUAUAUGUACACCUGCAAGGUGUAAAAAACAAAACAGGCAUAGAGCCAGAAGAGCAAAGAAAGCAGCAAAGAGGUCCAUCCACUUAUGAGAGAACUGAAUAAAUAGCCAGAAGAUGGAAAACAAGGGAAAUAAAUGAUGACAAAGUAGAGAAAGAGACAGACCAACUACACGAAGAAGUUUGCUUCCAAGGAAAUCCUUCUCCAGUGACCAGAGGAAUGACCAGCUCCCCACCUUCUCACUGUCCAGCAGUCCCUGCUAACCCACAGGAAGAGGGAGAGAUACCAGGAGCACACACACAGAGAGAGAACACCACUUGAGGACACAGUUGAGACGAUGACCCUCUGCAAGCCAAGAAGAGAGGCCUCCCCAGAAACCAAACCUGCUGACACCUUGAUCUUGGACUUCCAGCCUCCAGAACUGUGAGAAAAUAAGUUUCUAGGUUUAAAUGACUCGUCUAUGGGGCUUUGUUCAUGGCAGUCUGAGUUGACUAAUGCAUACGCUAACCAUUUCAUGUACUUAUUUUGCAUACUGCCUGUCUUCCUUUUAGAAUGUAAACUUCACCUGGAGAGGAAUUUUUAUCUGUUUUUUUCACCACUGGAAUUCUUAGUACUGAUAAGGUGCCUUAGCUGUAGUAAGAAUCAAGUACUACUUAUUGAAUGAAUAAACAAAUAGGUGAGAAAACAGUCCUGGUUUACACUGCUUUCUUUUUAUCUCUGUGGUAGACUAAUUGCAAAAAUGGCUCUAACUGUUCAUUGCUCUUUUACAUGCCCUUUGCCAUGUGUCUUUGCAGCUCUUCCUAUACAAAGGUAGAAUCUGUUUUUUUUUUUUUUUUUUUUUUUUUGAGAUGGAGUUUCACUGUUGUCACCUAGGCUGGAGUGUAGUGGUGCCAUCUUGACUCACUGCAACCUCCGCAUCCCGGAUUCAAGAGAUUCUCAUGCCUCAGCCUCCCGAGUAGCUGGGAUUACAGGCGCCUGCCACUAUGCCCAGCUAAUUUUUGUAUUUUUAGUAGAGAGAUGAGGUUUUGCCAUGUUGGCCAGGCUGGUCUCGAACUCCUGAUUUCAGGUGAUCCACCUACCUCAGCCUCCCAAUGUGCUGAGAUUUCAGGCGUGAGUCACCAUGCCCAGCCCAAAAAUAGAAUCUUUAUCCUCUUCCUUUGAAUGUGAUUUGGCUUUUUGACUCACCUUUGCCAAUAAAAUAUUGCAGAAGUAUCAGUGUGUCAGUUCCAGACCUAGGUGUCCAGAGGCCUUACCUGCUUCCAUUCUCCUUCUUAGAACUCUUUGUCAUAAAAGCAAUCCUAGGCUAGCCUAUAGAAAGACAAAUGACCAUGUGAAAAAGAGAGAAAUUAUCCUAGCUAAGAUAAUUCUAAACCAGUCAGCCUCCCUGCUAGUUGACCACAGACAUACAAUGAGACAGGAUUACCUUAGCCAACUUUAGCCAAGACCAGUAAAGCUGCCUAGCUGACCCACAGAUUGGCGGGCAACAAUACAUAUUUAUUAUUUUAAGCCAGCAAGGUUUUGCAGUUUUAGCUAUUACAGCAUUAUAGCAGCAAUAGAUAAUUGUAUCUGACAGUGGUCCCAAAAAGUAUUUUGUGUUUCAGAGAUGUCUCUUCUCUUUAAGUGGCAGACUAACUUAAAAGAAAGCUUAUGGGCUCUGGAACCAGAUUGAAUUGGGUUCAAAUCCUAGCUGCAAUCACUUACCAUAUGACCUAGUGCAAGUUACUUAACCUUUUGACCUUCGCAUUAUUUGUAAACUAAAGAUAGAAAUACUUGCUCAGAGCUUUUGUGAGACUUAAAAGAACUCUCAUGUGAAGUACCUGAUACAACUACUGAUAUUGAUCUAAAAAACAUCACAAAUUUUCCCUUAUAACUACUCUGUGGCUGAAUCAUCAAUAGAUUAAUCUAAAUGCCUGUAGAAAGUCUACUUUUUGUCUUAUUAGACAGAAAUUAUUAGGCAUCAGCCUGGUAUACUUGCUAUUGACUCUUCAAAGCUGUACUUUCUUUUAGUCAUUCUAACUGACAGUUUUCAACUUUAAGGGAUGGCCUUAAAGCCGAUAAAGUCCAGGUUUUAGUGACUUGAUUUAUUUCUACUGUAUUUGUACCCUUCAUGAUGUCAUUGAGUUAGGCCAGAAGGCUUCUCAGUUUUCUAUAUUUGAACAAAAGAGGCCUAAUUUCCAAACAUCAACAUAGAGGAAAGUGAAUGCUCUUGAUUCAGUGCCAUAUACCUGGAAAAUAACUGAGGUAUUCCCAGCAGCUGCUGGUAGCCUCCGAUAAGUCCAAGUGAAAUAUGGGCAUCUAAAUGCAAAGACAGAGGCCCUGUCCAUUCAAAGUCCCACAAAUCAGCCUGUAAAUAUGUAGGCAGCUAUGUGUUUGAAUAUUUAUUCUUGUAUUUUAUGCAGCUUCUUCAAUAAGAAUUAGAGAAGCAGGUUAAAUUUGAUGCAAUGUCUUAGGCAUUAGAUUCAAUUUAGAGAAAUACAUGCUAAAGAGAAAUAAGGUUUUUUUAAAAAAAUUUACUUUAUUUUUUAACAGGAAAUUAGCUUAAGCACUGCUUUCAGGUAAAACCAUUCUAUAACUGACAUCAUUUUUAAGUGCUCUAUAUUGAUUAAACACUUUAGCUAGAUUUGUAAGUCUGAUCAGAAAAUAUGAGUUGUAAAUCACGAUGUGAUUUUUCCUUUGAUCCCAUUUAAACAUUUUCUCCUUUGGAUCACAUGAUAACUUCUGAUAAAAUUCUGGAAACUAAAAUCCAUUUAAUUGGUAAUGAUGUUUCUUGUGAAAACGCUUAACACACAAUUUUGUUAAAAUGCAGGAACAUGAAUGUAUUGGUAUCUGCUUUUCUCAAGAAUAAAAUUGAUUUCUUCAUACUAAUCAUCUCUUCAAUAAACUGUCCCUCUUCUAGUCAAGUCAUUAAAAUGAUUC
This 3256-nucleotide long non-coding RNA is filed under the name Homo sapiens (human). RNAcentral's name for it is "HSALNT0038311". Lineage: Eukaryota; Metazoa; Chordata; Mammalia; Primates; Hominidae. The record is from RNAcentral.